This 476-nucleotide ribosomal RNA is filed under the name uncultured organism. RNAcentral's name for it is "partial 16S ribosomal RNA". It matches the Rfam family "Bacterial small subunit ribosomal RNA", at positions 331 to 798 of the family's 1533-position model. The record is from RNAcentral.
GUACACUCCUGCGGGAGGCAGCAGUAGGGAAUCUUCGGCAAUGGGGGCAACCCUGACCGAGCAACGCCGCGUGAGUGAAGAAGGUUUUCGGAUCGUAAAGCUCUGUUGUAAGUCAAGAACGAGUGUGAGAGUGGAAAGUUCACACUGUGACGGUAGCUUACCAGAAAGGGACGGCUAACUACGUGCCAGCAGCCGCGGUAAUACGUAGGUCCCGAGCGUUGUCCGGAUUUAUUGGGCGUAAAGCGAGCGCAGGCGGUUUGAUAAGUCUGAAGUUAAAGGCUGUGGCUCAACCAUAGUUCGCUUUGGAAACUGUCAAACUUGAGUGCAGAAGGGGAGAGUGGAAUUCCAUGUGUAGCGGUGAAAUGCGUAGAUAUAUGGAGGAACACCGGUGGCGAAAGCGGCUCUCUGGUCUGUAACUGACGCUGAGGCUCGAAAGCGUGGGGAGCGAACAGGAUUAGAAACCCCGGUAGUCCCAU